GGACGUUUAGCUCAGUUGGUUAGAGCGCUACAUUCACACUGUAGAGGUCAGUGGUUCGAGUCCACUAUCGUCCA
This 74-nucleotide transfer RNA is filed under the name Candidatus Moraniibacteriota bacterium. Its description in RNAcentral is "tRNA-Val". It matches the Rfam family "tRNA". From Rfam's summary of the family: Transfer RNA (tRNA) molecules are approximately 80 nucleotides in length. The record is from RNAcentral. Lineage: Bacteria; Candidatus Moraniibacteriota.